RNAcentral lists this ribosomal RNA (218 nucleotides) under uncultured bacterium. Its description in RNAcentral is "partial 16S ribosomal RNA". It matches the Rfam family "Bacterial small subunit ribosomal RNA", at positions 1283 to 1500 of the family's 1533-position model. The record is from RNAcentral.
UGGUCUCAGUUCGGACUGUAGGCUGCAACUCGCCUACACGAAGUUGGAAUUGCUAGUAAUCGUGGAUCAGCAUGCCACGGUGAAUACGUUCCCGGGUCUUGUACACACCGCCCGUCACACCAUGGGAGCUGGUAACACCCGAAGUCAGUAGUCUAACCGCAAGGAGGACGCUGCCGAAGGUGGGAUUAGCGACUGGGGUGAAGUCGUAACAAGGUAGC